This 366-nucleotide unclassified non-coding RNA is filed under the name fungal sp. Its description in RNAcentral is "partial internal transcribed spacer region". The stretch from base 1 to 46 matches the Rfam family "Eukaryotic small subunit ribosomal RNA". The record is from RNAcentral. Lineage: Eukaryota; Fungi.
AAGUCGUAACAAGGUUGCUGUAGGGGAACCUGCGGCAGGAUCACAGCGAGGGCAUUGCCUGACACACGGUGGUACCUUCGGUAGCAACUCCUGCGGGUUCAGUGGCAACUCCUGCAGAGGUUCAGUAGCAACUCCUGCGGAGUUGUAUGCAUCAUGCAUUGCGUGCAUCGUGGAUGUGUGUAGUGCGUGUGCAUUGCGUGCAUCGUGGAUGUGUGUAGUGCGUGUGCAUCAUGGAUGCUGGACAGCAGGUGGGAGAUGCUGGAGGGGUUUGCGGGCCAGGAGGCUCGGGACCAGAGAACGCAAGUCGAGUGUUGCGCAGAAGCGAGAGGAAGUUAACAACCUUCAACAAUGGAUCUCUAGGCUCUC